RNAcentral lists this ribosomal RNA (372 nucleotides) under uncultured organism. RNAcentral describes it as "partial 16S ribosomal RNA". It matches the Rfam family "Bacterial small subunit ribosomal RNA", at positions 527 to 896 of the family's 1533-position model. The record is from RNAcentral.
GUAGGUGGCAAGCGUUGUCCGGAAUUAUUGGGCGUAAAGCGCGCGCAGGCGGUUUUUAAGUCUGAUGUGAAAGCCCACGGGCUCAACCGUGGAGGGUCAUUGGAAACUGGAGAACUUGAGUACAGAAGAGGAAAGCGGAAUUCCACGUGUAGCGGUGAAAUGCGUAGAGAUGUGGAGGAACACCAGUGGCGAAGGCGGCUUUCUGGUCUGUAACUGACGCUGAGGCGCGAAAGCGUGGGGAGCAAACAGGAUUAGAUACCCUGGUAGUCCACGCCGUAAACGAUGAGUGCUAAGUGUUAGGGGGUUUCCGCCCCUUAGUGCUGCAGCUAACGCAUUAAGCACUCCGCCUGGAGAGUACGGCCGCAAAGGCUG